UCCUCAGUAGCUCAGUUGGUCAGAGCAUCUGACUGUUAAUCAGAGGGCCCCAGGUUCAAGUCCUGGCUGAGGAGCCA
Molecule: transfer RNA, 77 nt
Filed under: Prevotellaceae bacterium
Lineage: Bacteria; Pseudomonadati; Bacteroidota; Bacteroidia; Bacteroidales; Prevotellaceae
Description: tRNA-Asn
Rfam family: tRNA
About the family: Transfer RNA (tRNA) molecules are approximately 80 nucleotides in length. Their secondary structure includes four short double-helical elements and three loops (D, anti-codon, and T loops).
Source: RNAcentral